Molecule: long non-coding RNA, 1281 nt
Organism: Eriocheir sinensis (Chinese mitten crab)
Lineage: Eukaryota; Metazoa; Arthropoda; Malacostraca; Decapoda; Varunidae
Exons: 11
Source: RefSeq, a predicted model, not a curated record
CGCAUGAUGUAUUGCUAGUGAUUUGCAUUUCUUGUGAUGAUAACAAUGCCCCCGUCUGAGUGCCAUGACUGAGUAACACAUCUGAAUAAUGCCAUGACCCGUCUGUGACUUCUAAUACCCUUGCCUCUCACUAAUACCUUGUCUGUGCCUCAUGUCUUGCAGAGUAGUGUUGAGAGUAGUGAGGGCUACUUAACACUGGCUCUUGUUUAGCUGAGUUGAAGAAAGGUUGGAACUGUGUUCGUGCUGCCUGGCAUGAAAGUUGAUGAAUGCCACCGCUAUCUUAGGGAUCCUGGGGACUUCUCCAUAGACUGGACAUGACUUCACCUUUUCAAGGAUUCCAGGGGGACUUUUCCAAAGGCUGGGCAUCGCUAUUUUUUCAAGGAUACUACAGUGACAUCAGCAGACCAGGGCAGCCAGCAACCUUCACCUCAUUCCUUUUAUCAUCCUCACGUGACAUCAUAGGACCAGACAAGUGAACAACCGUCUCAUUGUAUGUUUUUUAGGGACCUUGUGGUGACAUUGUUUGGCGUACUGACUGACAAUCUCUACCUCGAUUCUUCUCACAUCUACGCUUAGAAAAACUAAGAUCCUCUUGUGACAUCGUAGGACCAAGCUAGUCAACAAAUCAUCCCUUUUCAUGAUCCUCUUGUGACAUCGUAGGACCAAGCUAAUCAACAAAUCAUCCGUUUUCAUGAUCCUCUUGUGACAUUGUAGGACCAAGCUAGUCAACAAAUCAUCCCUUUUCAUGAAUCCUGCAAUGACAUCAACAAUAAAAUGAGGCUGAUCUUGAGGUCGCCAGGCAUCCUAUCUGAGUAAAUGUUUGGAAGGGGCAGCGCUGAAUGAACCUCAAGUAUAAUCCCAAAUCCAUCCCCAACUGCAGCAACAUGGGUUAUUUUUGCCAGUUUGUACACAACUUUACAAUUAGUACUGAUAUCAGGGGGGAAGAAAACUAAAAAUUGAGCUAAAGAAUAAGAGCAAAGUAUUGUCAGAAUGAAGAUGAAUUCCAGAUCUAAAUCAACACUGCAGUCUGGCCUCACCAAACCCAAUUCCUUGAGCAUAAACUGAUCUUUGUCAUCCUACACAGCAGAUUCAGUAACUUAGGUGUGGUAUUGUAAAAUAGUUGAUAAUCCAUUUUCAUACCUAGAGCAAAUUUUCCUAAAUACAUAUGAAUACACAUACAGAUUGAAAUGAAUUUAAACGUAAGGAUACAUAAGUCAAAGCUGACAAUAAUCUUGAUUGCAAUGUCUCAAGCAAGAAAAUAAAGACUGUGUACAUUCCUCA